UGCGUAGGGGGCAAGCGUUGUCCGGAAUCAUUGGGCGUAAAGAGCGUGUAGGCGGCUCGGUAAGUCCGCUGUGAAAGUCCAGGGCUCAACCCUGGAAUGCCGGUGGAAACUGUCGAGCUAGAGUCCGGAAGAGGCGAGUGGAAUUCCUGGUGUAGCGGUGAAAUGCGCAGAUAUCAGGAGGAACACCAAUGGCGAAGGCAGCUCGCUGGGACGGUACUGACGCUGAGACGCGAAAGCGUGGGGAGCAAACAGG
This 253-nucleotide ribosomal RNA is filed under the name uncultured bacterium. RNAcentral describes it as "partial 16S ribosomal RNA". It matches the Rfam family "Bacterial small subunit ribosomal RNA", at positions 524 to 776 of the family's 1533-position model. The record is from RNAcentral.